This is an RNA transcript of Myotis myotis, 2092 nucleotides long. It is a transcript of the gene named NAD(P)HX dehydratase, with no coding region annotated. The transcript is spliced from 12 exons. Lineage: Eukaryota; Metazoa; Chordata; Mammalia; Chiroptera; Vespertilionidae. The record is from RefSeq and is a predicted model, not a curated record.
GGCGAGGUAAGAUCGAUACGGUCCUCCGUAGGCAUGGCCUCGCCGGCGGGGGUCGGGGCUGCGGUCGCCGGCGCAGCCGUUGUCACGCUGCUCUCGGCCGCGCUCGCGUUCUAUGGGCCGCCGCUGGACGCAGUUUUAAAAAGAGCAUUCUCGCUGCAUAAAGCACAUUCAAUAAAGGAUAUGGAAAAUACUUUUCAAUUGGUGAAAAAUAUUAUACCUCCUCUAACUACCAAGAAGCACAAAGGGCAAGAUGGAAGAAUAGGCAUAGUUGGAGGCUCUCAAGAGUACACCGGAGCCCCUUACUUUGCAGCAAUCUCAGCUCUCAAAGUGGGUGCAGAUUUAUCCCACGUGUUCUGUACCCGGGAGGCCGCACCUGUGAUCAAGUCGUACAGCCCGGAGCUGAUUGUUCACCCGGUUCUUGACAGUCCCGAUGCCGUUCAUGAAGUAGAAAAGUGGUUGCCCCGACUGCAUGCCUUGGUUGUAGGACCUGGCUUAGGCAGAGAAGAAGCUCUUCUCGAAAACGUCAAGGGCAUUUUAGAAGCAUCAAAGGCCAGAGCCAUCCCUGUCGUCAUUGAUGCAGACGGGCUGUGGCUGAUAGCUCAGCAGCCGACCCUCAUCCAAGGCUACCAGAAGGCCGUUCUCACUCCCAACCACGUGGAGUUCAUCAGGCUGUCUGAAGCUGUGCUGAGAGACCCCGUGGAUAGCAGUGAUCGCCGUGGAGCUGUGCUGAGACUCAGCCAGGCCCUGGGGAAUGUGACUGUGGUCCAGAAAGGGGAGCAGGACGUGAUCUCCGAUGGCGAACAGGUUCUCGAGUGCAACCUACAGGGCAGUAACCGCAGAUGUGGUGGGCAGGGUGACCUCCUGUCGGGAUUCCUGGGUGUUCUAGUGCAGUGGGCACUCCACGCCGGACCUGAGAAAACAAAUGGUUUCAGCCCCCUCCUCGUGGCUGCCUUUGGUGCGUGCUCCCUCACAAGGCAGUGCAACCACCAAGCCUUCCAGAAGUAUGGCCGCUCCACCACUACCUCGGACAUGAUCGCAGAAAUCAGACCUGCAUUCAGCAGACUCUUUGAAACCUGAGCCGAUGCAAACGAGAAGAAAGAGAUGAUGGAGCCGAACACAGCAGGGCUCCUGGGACCGCCAGGCUCCUGUGACAGAUGACCCAGAGAAGGCUCUUUAAAGGCAACGGUGUAACAGGUCACUUCUGCCUGCUGUGCCUCCAUGCGGACAAGCUGGCAGGGGGCCCUGGACUAACUGCUGGAGCUGCCACUCUGCAAGCCAGACAACCCGGGCAGAAGAGCCGGAAGACGUCGGGGGAAAAUGUCUUCAGAAAGUCCUGAGAGAGAGAGAGAGAUGCGGGAGAGAUGUACAGUGCUUGUCUUUCCCAUUUGCAUCACUCGGAGGUGAGCUCUCACACGUCCAGCAAUCAGGAAUGUUUAUGAAAAGCUUUGUUUUGCAUUCAAACUCUUAGCACUUUCCUUGCAAUUUCCCUGCUGACUGUCCACAUUCAGUCCAAGCGUCUGUGGGAAAGGCCGAGAGGAGAGGCCUGUCUGCCUGGAGAACCGCUCCACCGGGCGCAUCGGGAGUCUGCUCUGCUGAUGGCCUGGGAGCCUUCACCACGGCAUGAGAGGACGGCCACCACCAGAGGCCACCCAGCAGCCUGGGAACCACAGAGAGACUGUGCUCAGGAAGGGACACAGGGAGGAGGAGGCACGCACAGCUCCUGGCUGAGUGAGAGGGACAGGCUCCCAGGAGCAGGAAGGAGACAGUCCAGAAAGCUUGGCUGUGGUAACGUCAGAACAAGCAACAUCCAUGCCCAGGCUGGACUGAGGGGAGAGGGCCCAGGUCAUUCUCUCCAGUGACACUGAACUUGAAGCAUGCCCAGGCUGGACUGAGGGGAGAGGGCCCAGGUCAUUCUCUCCAGUGACACUGAACUUGAAGCAGGUAUGUUUCUCAAAGAAUAAACCAUCCUGCCUCGAUAAAAGUGAACGUAAAAUAGCUCUAGCCGGUUUGGCUCAAUGGCUAGAGCAUCGGCCUGCAGACCAAAGGGCCCAGGUUUCGAUUCUGGUCAAGGGCACAUACCUCGGUUGCAGGC